Hordeum vulgare subsp. vulgare (domesticated barley) is the source of this 1901-nucleotide long non-coding RNA. RefSeq lists it as uncharacterized. NCBI's taxonomy places the organism in Eukaryota, Viridiplantae, Streptophyta, Magnoliopsida, Poales, Poaceae. The transcript is spliced from 2 exons. The record is from RefSeq and is a predicted model, not a curated record.
CGAAAUCUCUCUUCUCCUCUCCGUUUACCAAUUCUUCUAUUGGAUAGAAGAAUCUUUAUGUGAUAUGUCAACAUGUGAAAUUUGUGAACUACUAGAAUUAGAGGGAUUAGGGAAAGAAACUAGAGAUUAUUAGUGUAUCUGAUGAAUGAUGCUGCUGUUCACGUUGUCUUCAUUGUCAGAUUGGAGCUGUUGUUCACGUUGUCUUCAUUGUCCGAUUGGAGCUGCUGAUAGCUAAUUGCAUAUAUCUGGAUGUUGUGCUUGCUAAUUUCUAUUAUAUUUCUAGUUGCUGUUUACUCUGUGUUUCAUUACAAUUUGUCUAUCUACUGAUUGGAGUAUCUAUUAGUAGUAGGUUUUAAAAACCUGGACAUCGAACCGAGAGCCUGAUCACGUUUGAGAGUCGUAGCUUCAUAGCUUGUUGAUGUGCUUCUCUUUUAAGUUCUAACUAGGAUCCUUGUAGAAGUAAACUACUACUGCUAGUCCAUCGGAACAAUCUAUCUUCUGUUGUUGCAAUAAAGACAAAGUCUGUUUAAGACAAUUUUCGAUGGAUUUAUUUUAGUGUGAAUGGGUUGAUGUUUGUGAAAAAGGAAGUAUAAAAAGGACAACUAUACCUACACACUUGUUAACUUCUCACAUUUGAUGCACAAAAGGAGAUACGAUUGAACAUAAACCUUUUAUUUUGCCUAACCAAGCCGAUCAAGUGUUUUAUCUAGAAGAGGAACUGAACCCAUGUUGGUCAGUGAUGAUGCAGAAUGAACUACAAUAGAGAUAGAUGUGACACUGGAAAUGAUGAAUGCACACAAGACGUAGACGCUGAGGCAUUCUAUGUUUCUCACCUCACGGAUAUGUUUAAAAGAAAAGGAAAGAUCAACAUUGGGUAACAUCCUAUAUUGAGGGAACAACUGUGGAUGCUAUUGAUAAUGCUUUGAACGAUGAAGAAGAGUGGAGGAAAUUUUGCAAGUGGAGAUUAGAAGGAUUGUUCUAACUGAUGGAUGAAGCAAUAUGUUCUUUUAGCAGGCUUUUAUAUAUUUGCAUUGUUUUUGCUUUUCAAAAUGAAGCUUGGAACAUGUCAGAAAAUUCCAGUGGACUUAAGUUUCAUCUAUGACAGUUGACAGAUUGUCAUUGGAAAUAGAUACAUUUUGGUUGAAGUAUUAUGUUAGAUUUACUAUCUGAUAAACUAAGUGUACGUAAGUUUGAAAUUAAACCUGGAUGGCUGAUUGCCUGAUUCAACAUUUUAUUCUUUGUUGUUGUGAACUAACCUUUGUGUUUGUGAUUCAACGUGUCUUUUUGGUGAUUUUAUAGUUAAUCAAACAGGCAAAUAAACACUAGCAUAGAAUAGAGGAUUCAGCCAUCAAACACAUCUCAUGCAUCAGAUCAAGUUCGCUAGUAACUCACAAAUUGUCUCAUAGAAAUUUAACUACUAUUAUCUCCAUUUCCAGCAAACGUUCACAGUAAUAAGAGAAGAGCGAGAUUCAGAGAUUAGUUCUAGUCAAUUUUCAAGUUAUAGAUGUAGCAGGUGUAGGUGAUGGAGAAGAAACUAUGCAGAGCUUGGAGAAGAAUAGUAGAAGAGGAGCCUUGGGACACACGAGCAAAGAUGUUAGAGGAAGGCACAACUGCAUUGUUUGGUGGAGGGCGCCACAAGACAGAAACUCACGCGGAGAACCAGACACUGCAGCUCCCUGUCUGGUGAGGCGUGUGACUUCCCCUUCCUCCUGUUAUGGCCGUCAGGAGAAGGAGAGCGAGCAGUGGCGAAUGUAGAAAUAAUUUCCAGGUGUGGCGGAGCUUAUAAAGGAGAAAAGCAUGCAAAAUGCAAAUGUCCAAAAACUCUCUAGACUAUUAUAUAUAUAGCACUUUGUGUUCUGCAAAUACAACUAAUAUCCAAAUUUAAGUAACGUAUUGGAUUA